GGGGAUUCGCGAGCUGGGAAGACCGACCACGGGCAGAGCGCUGAUCUCCCAGCAGCCGGAGCGAGAGCCGCGACUCGCAUUCCUCCUCGAGCUACGCUAAAUAGAUCGCCAAUUCAUGAGCGUCAAAAGCAUGUGCGCCGCCGGGUUAUGGUGUCAAGGAAAUAAACUAGUGGGAGCCUCGGCAGCCACCUGGGCACGCCAGGUUUCGGCGCUGCCACUGUUUCCGAUGUAUGGUACUGCUUUUUAUAUUAUUGAUGGAUUUUUUUGAUUGAGAUAGGUUCUGUUGCAGUCUGAGAUUGUUGUAAUUUUGACAUUUCUACUGUCCAUCAGCUAUUUGUUGCUUAGGUCAUGUUA
Molecule: long non-coding RNA, 354 nt
Organism: Lolium rigidum
Lineage: Eukaryota; Viridiplantae; Streptophyta; Magnoliopsida; Poales; Poaceae
Exons: 2
Source: RefSeq, a predicted model, not a curated record